ACUGCCCUAGGUAUUAUUGAACCAUUUGUUACCAGAGCAUCUGAAAAACUUACCCAUCUGUAAACACAGCCAAGGCACCCACAUCUCCUUGCAGAUAACUCCCUUACAGUGAAUAUUGGUAGUUCCUAAUUUGCCUUCCCAUAAUCUGGUAGGUGUGAAGGACUGAAGUGGUUCAGCUUGGGUCUGGACUCCACCAUGUUUUGUACAUAGGUGCUUCCAUGUAGACAGAAGAACAUCCUUCUUUUGGAGUAACUCAACAGCUAAUUAAAUCUCUGGCAGUCCUCACAGGGGGCUUUUUUGUGUAUGUAAGACCCUUUUCUCCGAGUGACCUGAUGCAAGGAUGUGUGCCAUGAGCAGCAGUUAACAGCUUUUCUCAGUGAUCCUCUUCUGGUCCAUGACAACUGACAAAGAUGUGAACUCCCAGCAUGCACAACUGGCAAUGGCUUCACUGUGUCACUUAUUUGGGCCAUUCUUGUCUUAAUGCCUGCCUGUGCUUCCUUACACCUUUCUGACUGAACAGGAUACACCAGUUGGAAGGAUCUAGUCCUUUCAGUAUUUUCUUUACAGGCUGCUCAGUUUUCCCUUUCUGUUUUCCAGACCUAAGCUAAACCACCUUUCCAGGCACAAAUCAAAUCACCUAAGGAGGUGGCAGAGAAGGUGCACCCUUUCUGAGUAUGGAAGAGAUGCCAUCUUGUCUUUCUGGGCCCUUACCUGUUUGUGUGGAUGCCAGUUAUCUCUGGAAAGGAGGAUCAGUCAGGAGACCCACCUUGUCACAGCGGUACUCUCCGAAGCGGACGCCCCGGAUGACUUGGUGGUAGAUGAGGUCAGUGCUGACGGGAUCCUCGCGGGAGCUGUGCCAGGGGGUGAAGAUCUCCUUGCGGAAGUAGAGGCGCCAGGGCGCGUGGCGCUCGUGCGUGCCGCGCUCCUUCACCAGCUGCUCGCACUGCGAGAUGGCGUCCAGCACGUGCUCCCGGCCCCCGCCCAGCGACCAGACCUGCCACACAGGGACACUGCCUUUACUGCCAGCCUGCUCUGGGUCUGCCCAAAGGAACAGAAGCACAAAGCUCCUGGUCUCCUGACUGCAAGAAAAACUCCAAAAAGUUCUGCUGCCAGGACGAGGAGCCCAUCUGAGCAAGAUGAACCUCAAGAUGGUACAAACUGUCACACUGGAACUGAAAUAGGCAGCACAUAGCUCUGAUGGAUUAAAAGUAAAAGCAAGGAAUACCCUGUACUCCAGCUCUUCUCGGAUGCAGCCAAGUAAAACUAUAAAAUGUUACACAGAAACUGAGAGCCUUUUCUCAUUACAGACUUUACCAAAGGAUGUUUACCUGUCCAUGGCCAGGUGUUCUGGACAGCAGAAAGCCACACUGGGACAAAGACAGAGGAAGAAAGAACAAGAUCAGAAAACAAUGUCAGGAGAAUAGACAGAUAAUAGGUGCAGGAUGGCAGCCAGCAGCUUGCUGAUGUCCCAGUGCUCAGAGUCUGAGAACAUGAGGAUCUUCAUAGCCGAGCGGAUGUGGGCAUAAUCCUUGGCGUCAUUCCGGCUGUCACAGGACGUGCAGUUACCCUGCAAGCACCACACCAACAGGUUCACUGUAUAAAGGGACCCCUGCUGUAACUCCAUGUCCAAAUCAGAGGUAAGUAUUCAUGCAUGGCAAUAAAUAGUUGGGGGUAGCCUGUGUUUAUCAACAUCACAUAUUUGUGUUUUAAUGUCAGCCUCCUAACCUGAGUUUUUGUUUAAGUCUUACAGCAGCAGAUACAGAUGCAGAAAUAAAAUGCAGGCCCUUCCGGGCUCAGAGACUUUUGGAGAGAAGCAGAAAGCCACAGAGAGCUUUCUUCAAGUUUCUAACUGUGCAAAUCAUUCCUACUCAAAGACUUUGCUCAAAGUAGCUCUUUAGCAGACUUAUUUUUGAUACAGUUAGUGAUUAACAAAAUUUCAAGUACUGGUUUUAUUAGGUAAAGGUCAAAUAGUGGCAAAGAAAUCAAAGUACAUACCUUUAUACUACCAAGGCAGAUAUCUAAACCCAAAGCUUUUUUUUAUAAUUAGACAAAAAAAAUGCCAAGCAUAUUCCUUCAGAAAACAAAACAUACAUGCUGAAAUUCCAAAUGGAGCCUGUUUGGGGGCAGAGAAUCUCAUUCUAAAAUUAACUACUAAAAUUGUUAACACUUGUUAACACUUUUGCCCAAGACAAGCGCCUCUGCUACUUCAGAGGGAAGUACAGGAUAUAUGUCCUAUAGACACUGUAGUAGAUGGAAUCACAGGGAAAUCAAGAUCAUGUGAAAGAAAAGUACAACUCAUUGUACAGCUGAAAUAUGCACUAGAAGGGAGAUUUUGAUUUCCAGAGCUGACAUAUUCAAGAGGUAGCAAACAAAGGCUGAGGAAGCAGGCACGUCAGAUACCAAGGGGAAGCAGCCAAGAUGCUCUGUGCAGCACAUGCAGCUAAUGAGAUGUGCAGGCUAAAGGUGCCUCCAGAGAAGGACCUGUGAGUGCAUAGGGGCACCUCAGGUUUGGCAGGCACUGAGCUAUGCAAAUAGGGAAAUACAGGAGGGGAACUUGCCAGGAAUGAGCAAUGUGGUGUUCUGCUGAACACAGAGUUUGGUCAGGGACUGUGCAGGGCACAGGAACAUUUGUAAUGGUAACUAGGGGUAAUCUGUAGCAUGGUCUAUGCUGAUUAAUUGUUGUAAGCUCUCAUUUAAGCAAGCUGCUGAUGGUGAAGAUUGUGACAUUACAUCUUAAAUAAUAAAGCUCAAAAAAUUAUUAAGUAUGUAGCAAGACACUGGGCACAGGCUGCCCAGAGAAGCUGUGGCUGCCCCAUCCCUGGAGGUGUCCAAGACCAGGCUGGACAGGGCUUGGAGCAACCUGGGAUAGUGGAAGGUGCCCCUGUUAUAGUGGAACUGAAUGAGCUUUAAGGCCCCUUCCAAUCCAAGCCAUUCUGGGAUUCUAUGAUGAAUGCUGCACCAAGAAAAGCAACAAAAUAAAAUUGGAUGAACCCUGGUGAAUUUAAUCCUGAAGUUGUUCAAAGUAAAAGGUCUGUCCGGAUAGACAUGUGUUAACAGAACUGCCUCUUCCUGACAAUUCCUAAUUAAGAGAUUGAUGUCAGGAUCAAAGGGCUUAAUUUGCGCAUGGCACUACCUUUCAUAUUUUCUCUCCUAAAGUCAAAGGGGCCUUGUCACUUCUGCAUCAGGUCCUGGAUACCAAACAUCAUUUUAUGUUAAACUAGAUAUUUCUCUGAGGUUUCUGAAGCGAGGUGGA
This is a long non-coding RNA of Haemorhous mexicanus (house finch), 3253 nucleotides long. RefSeq lists it as uncharacterized. Lineage: Eukaryota; Metazoa; Chordata; Aves; Passeriformes; Fringillidae. The record is from RefSeq and is a predicted model, not a curated record. The transcript has 7 exons.